Molecule: transfer RNA, 69 nt
Filed under: Rattus norvegicus (Norway rat)
Lineage: Eukaryota; Metazoa; Chordata; Mammalia; Rodentia; Muridae
Rfam family: tRNA
About the family: Transfer RNA (tRNA) molecules are approximately 80 nucleotides in length. Their secondary structure includes four short double-helical elements and three loops (D, anti-codon, and T loops).
Source: Rfam by way of RNAcentral
GGGGAUUUGGCUCAGUGGCAGAGCGCUUGUCUAGGAAGCACAAGGCCCUGGGUUCGGUCCCCAGCUCCG